GGGUCAGUAGGUUGGUCGUGCCACCGGUACGUACUGGUCUCACUGAUUCCUCCUUCCUGAAGAACCGUAAUGCCAUUAAUUUGGUGUUGCGGGGAAACAGGACUGUUACUUUGAAAAAAUUAGAGUGUUUAAAGCAGGUUAGCGCUUGAAUACAUUAGCAUGGAAUAAUGAAAUAGGACGAUCGAUCCUAUUUUGUUGGUUUCUAGGAUUGACGUA
RNAcentral lists this ribosomal RNA (216 nucleotides) under Glomeromycotina sp. RNAcentral's name for it is "partial small subunit ribosomal RNA". The stretch from base 40 to 216 matches the Rfam family "Eukaryotic small subunit ribosomal RNA", at positions 686 to 864 of the family's 1831-position model. Lineage: Eukaryota; Fungi; Glomeromycota. The record is from RNAcentral.